This 253-nucleotide ribosomal RNA is filed under the name uncultured bacterium. RNAcentral's name for it is "partial 16S ribosomal RNA". It matches the Rfam family "Bacterial small subunit ribosomal RNA", at positions 524 to 776 of the family's 1533-position model. The record is from RNAcentral.
UACGGGGGGGGUAAGCGUUGUUCGGAAUUACUGGGCGUAAAGGGCUCGUAGGCGGCCAACUAAGUCAGACGUGAAAUCCCUCGGCUUAACUGAGGACGUGCGGGAGAUACUGAAGGGCUUGAGUCCGGAAGAGGGUGGUGGAAUUCCCAGUGUAGCGGUGAAAUGCGUAGAUAUUGGGAGGAACACCGGUGGCGAAGGCGGCCACCUGGGCCGGAACUGACGCUGAUGCGCGAAAGCGUGGGGAGCAAACGGG